AUUGAACGCUGGCGGCAGGCCUAACACAUGCAAGUCGAGCGGUAGCACAGAGAGCUUGCUCUCGGGUGACGAGCGGCGGACGGGUGAGUAAUGUCUGGGAAACUGCCUGAUGGAGGGGGAUAACUACUGGAAACGGUAGCUAAUACCGCAUAACGUCGCAAGACCAAAGUGGGGGACCUUCGGGCCUCAUGCCAUCAGAUGUGCCCAGAUGGGAUUAGCUAGUAGGUGGGGUAAUGGCUCACCUAGGCGACGAUCCCUAGCUGGUCUGAGAGGAUGACCAGCCACACUGGAACUGAGACACGGUCCAGACUCCUACGGGAGGCAGCAGUGGGGAAUAUUGCACAAUGGGCGCAAGCCUGAUGCAGCCAUGCCGCGUGUGUGAAGAAGGCCUUCGGGUUGUAAAGCACUUUCAGCGGGGAGGAAGGCGAUAAGGUUAAUAACCUCAUCGAUUGACGUUACCCGCAGAAGAAGCACCGGCUAACUCCGUGCCAGCAGCCGCGGUAAUACGGAGGGUGCAAGCGUUAAUCGGAAUUACUGGGCGUAAAGCGCACGCAGGCGGUCUGUCAAGUCGGAUGUGAAAUCCCCGGGCUCAACCUGGGAACUGCAUUCGAAACUGGCAGGCUAGAGUCUUGUAGAGGGGGGUAGAAUUCCAGGUGUAGCGGUGAAAUGCGUAGAGAUCUGGAGGAAUACCGGUGGCGAAGGCGGCCCCCUGGACAAAGACUGACGCUCAAGUGCGAAAGCGUGGGGAGCAAACAGGAUUAGAUACCCUGGUAGUCCACGCCGUAAACGAUGUCGAUUUGGAGGUUGUGCCCUUGAGGCGUGGCUUCCGGAGCUAACGCGUUAAAUCGACCGCCUGGGGAGUACGGCCGCAAGGUUAAAACUCAAAUGAAUUGACGGGGGCCCGCACAAGCGGUGGAGCAUGUGGUUUAAUUCGAUGCAACGCGAAGAACCUUACCUGGUCUUGACAUCCACAGAACUUUCCAGAGAUGGAUUGGUGCCUUCGGGAACUGUGAGACAGGUGCUGCAUGGCUGUCGUCAGCUCGUGUUGUGAAAUGUUGGGUUAAGUCCCGCAACGAGCGCAACCCUUAUCCUUUGUUGCCAGCGGUCCGGCCGGGAACUCAAAGGAGACUGCCAGUGAUAAACUGGAGGAAGGUGGGGAUGACGUCAAGUCAUCAUGGCCCUUACGACCAGGGCUACACACGUGCUACAAUGGCAUAUACAAAGAGAAGCGACCUCGCGAGAGCAAGCGGACCUCAUAAAGUAUGUCGUAGUCCGGAUUGGAGUCUGCAACUCGACUCCAUGAAGUCGGAAUCGCUAGUAAUCGUAGAUCAGAAUGCUACGGUGAAUACGUUCCCGGGCCU
RNAcentral lists this ribosomal RNA (1361 nucleotides) under uncultured bacterium. RNAcentral's name for it is "bacterial SSU rRNA". It matches the Rfam family "Bacterial small subunit ribosomal RNA", at positions 28 to 1381 of the family's 1533-position model. The record is from RNAcentral.